RNAcentral lists this ribosomal RNA (408 nucleotides) under Triticum aestivum (bread wheat). RNAcentral describes it as "partial small subunit ribosomal RNA". The record is from RNAcentral. Lineage: Eukaryota; Viridiplantae; Streptophyta; Magnoliopsida; Poales; Poaceae.
CAAGGUGUUAUCCCAGCGGAUAAGAUUAGUAAAUUUAAGAACAAAAUUUGAGAAGGAGUGAUCUACAUGAUCCAGCAUUACCUGAUUCUGAGAGCAAAAGAAAAAUACAGAGCCACUGAUCAUCCUUUCAGGCUUUCUUUUAUUAAUACAAAUAUUGUGUGUCCUGUCAAUCCUCAGCUUCCUGGUUUUCCUCUCAUCGCUCAUAAUGCUCUUCCAUUCUCUGAAGUAGAAAACCGAAUCGGAUCAAAUGUGCUUAUGUCAGAUGUAAUUGCUCUAGUUACAGGAAUCACGGAUUUUCUUCCUCCUACUGUAAAUGCACGGGAGCCAAGACGUCAAAUCUUUAUUACCAACCGACAAUAUACUAUCAUUUUUCUCACAUUUACAGCAGUGUACAUCAUCCAUGAAUGA